RNAcentral lists this non-coding RNA (21 nucleotides) under Arabidopsis thaliana (thale cress). Lineage: Eukaryota; Viridiplantae; Streptophyta; Magnoliopsida; Brassicales; Brassicaceae. The record is from RNAcentral.
UAAGUGACAGAAAGGUGGUUC